AGUGAACGCUGGCGGUAGGCCUAACACAUGCAAGUCGAACGGCAGCACAGUAAGAGCUUGCUCUUACGGGUGGCGAGUGGCGGACGGGUGAGGAAUACAUCGGAAUCUACUUUUUCGUGGGGGAUAACGUAGGGAAACUUACGCUAAUACCGCAUACGACCUACGGGUGAAAGCAGGGGAUCUUCGGACCUUGCGCGAUUGAAUGAGCCGAUGUCGGAUUAGCUAGUUGGCGGGGUAAAGGCCCACCAAGGCGACGAUCCGUAGCUGGUCUGAGAGGAUGAUCAGCCACACUGGAACUGAGACACGGUCCAGACUCCUACGGGAGGCAGCAGCGGGGAAUAUUGGACAAUGGGCGCAAGCCUGAUCCAGCCAUACCGCGUGGGUGAAGAAGGCCUUCGGGUUGUAAAGCCCUUUUGUUGGGAAAGAAAAGCAGCAGGUUAAUACCCCGCUGUUCUGACGGUACCCAAAGAAUAAGCACCGGCUAACUUCGU
Molecule: ribosomal RNA, 491 nt
Filed under: uncultured bacterium
Lineage: Bacteria
Description: partial 16S ribosomal RNA
Rfam family: Bacterial small subunit ribosomal RNA
Source: RNAcentral